Molecule: ribosomal RNA, 381 nt
Filed under: uncultured beta proteobacterium
Lineage: Bacteria; Pseudomonadati; Pseudomonadota; Betaproteobacteria
Description: bacterial SSU rRNA
Rfam family: Bacterial small subunit ribosomal RNA
Source: RNAcentral
CUGCUUUUGUACGGAACGAAAAGGUCUCUGUUAAUACCAGGGGCUGAUGACGGUACCGUAAGAAUAAGCACCGGCUAACUACGUGCCAGCAGCCGCGGUAAUACGUAGGGUGCGAGCGUUAAUCGGAAUUACUGGGCGUAAAGCGUGCGCAGGCGGUCUUGUAAGACAGAUGUGAAAUCCCCGGGCUCAACCUGGGAACUGCAUUUGUGACUGCAAGGCUAGAGUGCGGCAGAGGGGGAUGGAAUUCCGCGUGUAGCAGUGAAAUGCGUAAAUAUGCGGAGGAACACCGAUGGCGAAGGCAAUCCCCUGGGCCUGCACUGACGCUCAUGCACGAAAGCGUGGGGAGCAAACAGGAUUAGAUACCCUGGUAGUCCACGCCCU